Molecule: long non-coding RNA, 571 nt
Filed under: Homo sapiens (human)
Lineage: Eukaryota; Metazoa; Chordata; Mammalia; Primates; Hominidae
Description: HSALNT0015168
Source: RNAcentral
AUUAACAAUUGAUGGCACAGGAUGAGAAGCCCAAACUUGGAAGGACCCUCCAGGGAAAUAAGAGGAAACCAAGAGAAAGAGGGCACAGAAACCAAGGAAAGAGUUUUGUGGAGGGAGUGGCCACCUUCCUGCUACCGCAGAGAGAUGGGAUAUAAGUCAAAGAGUACAGCAGAAAAUGUCUACUGAACGGACUUCUUGGACAAGCCUGUCCACCAUUCAGAAAAUAGCCCUGGGCCUUGGGAUCCCAGCCAGUGCAACAGUUGCCUAUAUCCUAUACCGCAGGUAUAGGGAAAGCAGAGUUGUUAGUAGAAGGCACUUACCUCAAAGGCUGGAUCUAGAGAAUAGGACCUAGAGAAAUGACUUAUGUACCUAUCAGUCAGGAGAAGUUCUGAGCCUAAUGGACCCCUCAGAAGAGCGGCUGACAUUUGUUGGGGAAGAUGACAUUGAGAUAGAGAUGCGGGUUCCCCAGGAGGCUGUGAAACUCAUCAUUGGCCGGCAAGGAGCCAAUAUUAAACAGCUGCGGAAACAGACAGGUGCUCGGAUUGAUGUGGACACAGAGGAUGUAGGCGAU